RNAcentral lists this ribosomal RNA (466 nucleotides) under Vreelandella stevensii. Its description in RNAcentral is "partial 16S ribosomal RNA". It matches the Rfam family "Bacterial small subunit ribosomal RNA", at positions 338 to 795 of the family's 1533-position model. The record is from RNAcentral. Lineage: Bacteria; Pseudomonadati; Pseudomonadota; Gammaproteobacteria; Oceanospirillales; Halomonadaceae.
CCUACGGGGGGCUGCAGUGGGGAAUAUUGGACAAUGGGCGAAAGCCUGAUCCAGCCAUGCCGCGUGUGUGAAGAAGGCCUUCGGGUUGUAAAGCACUUUCAGUGGGGAAGAAAGCCUUGGGGCUAAUACCCUCGAGGAAGGACAUCACCCACAGAAGAAGCACCGGCUAACUCCGUGCCAGCAGCCGCGGUAAUACGGAGGGUGCGAGCGUUAAUCGGAAUUACUGGGCGUAAAGCGCGCGUAGGCGGUCUGAUAAGCCGGUUGUGAAAGCCCCGGGCUCAACCUGGGAACGGCAUCCGGAACUGUCAGGCUAGAGUGCAGGAGAGGAAGGUAGAAUUCCCGGUGUAGCGGUGAAAUGCGUAGAGAUCGGGAGGAAUACCAGUGGCGAAGGCGGCCUUCUGGACUGACACUGACGCUGAGGUGCGAAAGCGUGGGUAGCAAACAGGAUUAGAUACCCCCAGUAGUC